AUUUAUGUAGUUUAUAAAAAACAUUAUAUUUUCAAUAUAAAAAAAGAUUUAAUCUUAUAAAUA
RNAcentral lists this transfer RNA (63 nucleotides) under Aiolocaria hexaspilota. RNAcentral describes it as "tRNA-Glu". Lineage: Eukaryota; Metazoa; Arthropoda; Insecta; Coleoptera; Coccinellidae. The record is from RNAcentral.